GAAGGAUGACAUUCCAUAUUCCACUUAAGAACAAAAUUGUUUAUUCGAGAGUUAUGAUUUUUGGACGAUGUAUUAAACGUAGCUUAACACUCAAUUGUUACAAGAAUACAGUAAAAGUACCUAUUUUAACAAAGUACCUAUCAGAAGAUUAAAGAAGAUACACACAACUAACUUCUUAUAUAAUUAUAUUGGGAUCAAGAGAAAUAUUUAAUAAGGCAACUGUAUUCUGACAACGGGUAAAGCUACUGUCCAGCCCUACCGACCGAGUUCUAGCUAGAAUGAUGUAGAUUACACACCGGAGGUUGGUAAGAACUGAGGUUUGGAACCCUAACCUAAGUAGGCCUACCAGCGAAGCAACAGGUACUUGAUCGGGCGGGGGGGCGGUUUGGUUUCAAGGCCCUCGCAGCAGGAAGAAGCAGUUGUCAUUUGAAAGUAAAGGCUCUUCUCCUGUUUUACGAAUCCUACAACUCUCUUUACUGAGCGAGACUCCAUCCAUAUCCCUACUAGUGGUUUUUCUUUCAUUCAAUCAUCACUUGUUUGACAGCUUAAACUAGGCUCCACUUUAGAGAUAGGUUUUUGGUCUUAAUCAAAAUAGGUCAAGGGCGCGUCGGAACGGUCGGUAGCUGCUUAGUCUCAUCCGAGAGUUUAAUCUCCUUACUCCUUACUGCUUUUUUCAAAGAAAAAAAGAGGGGGGUCGAUUUAGGCUCCUUCCCU
This 714-nucleotide long non-coding RNA is filed under the name Nicotiana benthamiana. Its description in RNAcentral is "long non-coding RNA (NBEN_LNC013035)". Lineage: Eukaryota; Viridiplantae; Streptophyta; Magnoliopsida; Solanales; Solanaceae. The record is from RNAcentral.